Molecule: unclassified non-coding RNA, 2166 nt
Filed under: Eurytemora carolleeae
Lineage: Eukaryota; Metazoa; Arthropoda; Copepoda; Calanoida; Temoridae
Description: serine/threonine-protein kinase Kist
Source: RNAcentral
UUUAUUUAUUAGUAAUCUUGUUACAGAUACAAUGUAGAAGCUGUGGAUCUAACAGAGCUGCCAUGGGUUAGCAGUUCUGUUUCAAACUAUAAAAUAUUAUUCUCAAUUAUGCAAAAACUAAAUAAUUAAAGAAUGGAGGAGAAUGAUGAAGUAAGGAAUGAUGCUAGACUUGUAAAGAAGGACAAGGAUGGCGACGAGGGAGAGGAGAAGAGUCCUGAGCUGAAUAUACAACCUGGAGAAACUAUUCAAGGGUCUGAAACUAGUUACAGAGUUAUUAGACGGAUAGGCGAGGGUCGAUGCAGUGUUGUUUAUAGUGGAGAAACAAUCAACUCUGCUGAACCUGUGGCUCUUAAGUUUUUCAGGACUGGAAGCACGUUCAAGAGUGCAGCUGAAGCAGAAGCUAAAGUAUUUACUCUGCUUGCAGGUUCAGUCAAGACAUCGGUCAGUCUGUACAGUACAACAAUAUACAAGGGCCUGAUAUGUUUUGUAUUGGAGCUUUUAGACCUCAAUAUUCGACAGCUAAUAAUCAAGAAUAUUCGGAGUGGACUACCUGUGUGGACCACCCUGAAGUUUGCCAGGGAUAUUUUCAGUUUUCUCCAACCUUUACAUCAGGCUAAUUAUGUGCAUGGAGAUAUCAAACCUGGGAAUAUUAUGUGGUCCGGACAGGAUGGUUGCUUCAAGUGCUUUGAUUUUGGACUGAGUUACAGUUUAGAUUCUACAGUUCUCCACCUGACCCAGAGUACAGGCUACCGAGCUCCGGAGCUGACCCGCAGCUAUAAAGGAGCUGCUUCCCACCAGUCUACUGCAAGGGGCGGAUACAUCUACCUGAGAUCUAGAAACAACAACUACAGUGUAGAAAGUAUAUCUGGAGCUGGGACGGAUAUCUGGGCACUAGGUUGUAUUCUUAUGGAGUGUGUACUUGGUAGAAAACUAUUCAGGGCGGGCGAUAGGCUCUCUUCACAUCUCAGGGUUUAUGAUUUGGUUGAGCUGAGACUGGAGGAAGUUAGAUCCAGGUUUGAAGAACACCAGCAGUCAGAAAUAUUUCAGCAUCUCAAGGAUUUAAUACUGCGCUGUCUGGAGGAAAAUCCCGACAAUAGAAUAACUGCUGAAGAAGCACUAAAACAUCCUGCUCUAACCAGUAGUAUAGCUCUCUCCAGAGCAGACACUAUCCUUCUUCCCUCGCCUGUUCUUAGCUUCAGCUCUGUCGACCCCGCCCAUCUGAGGGCGGUCCAGGAGAAGCUAAAUUAUAGCCAGGUUCUAGAGCAGAGGAUCCAUGGGAACCAGUUGUUCGUCCAUUUCAAAAGUAUCAAGGAGUCUAUCAGGGCUAAGUCCAUCCUAUCCUGUGAAGGAGUUCGUAAUAUUGAUUUAUUCUCAACUGAGGAUAUUAUUAUUUAUAAACAUCAAACUGCCACCAGCAAUUAUACAACAGAAUUCUAUCCCUUGGAACUUUGGUAUAAAAUGGAAGAGGCGGUGUAAUUUACUACAAAGGUUUAAAUUUUAGAAAUGGUGGGAAAGAAAAAAAAUAGGUCUGGACUAAAACUCCGCAAUUCAGUUGGGACUUGAUAUUCUCUCCUGGUAGCUGAAACUCAGAGCAAUUCCUAUAUUUCAUGAUUUGAUUUGGUUUCAUUAAAUUCUUUUUUACUUAAGCGGUAUGCCUUUUUCUCAAAGAAUUCUUCGGGAGAAACAAAAACCUUUACAACCCUCUUUUACCUAAUCUAAUCCUAAGCUUUCUAAGCUUUGGAUUUUAGCAAAUUAUGUACCUAGUCCAGUUCAAAGAGAUAUUCUAUAAUAUGCAAAAAUCCACGAAAAUUCAAAUGUACCAGUCACGAUAACAUUUGUACCAGUGUGCUAUGAUUUACGACGUUAAAGCAUAAUUUCAAGUGACCCGCUAUGCAAAGAUGACAAUGUUCGAUAAACAACGGGUCAGCCGAACUUCCGCUUACAGUUCCUGUAAAUUACCUUUUUAAAAUGUUAUCAAUGCAUUAUUUAGAAACGUAGUGUCUUCAUGUAAAAAUUAUUCUAUGCAACUAAAUUUACACCGUCACUUAUGAUUCUUUUUUUAGAUUGUACUUUUAUAGAAUUUUUAGAUUUUUUAUUGAUAGUUUUAAGUUUUUAGUUUUUGUUUUCACAGAGUUAUGUUUAUUAGACUGAAUGUCAUGAUAAAAU